UUACCUGGGAUGUUCGACAACUCCUAUUGUUUUGAACCUACAUUUACUUUAAACGGGAUUCCUACAUUGCCGAUUGGAUGUCACGCCCCCAUAGUCAGGGGAAGGCAGAAGAGAGGUUGCGGUUACCCACCUAGCAUGGCUAGGAGUCAAAAGAUAGGAACCGGCAUUUUGGGGAU
Molecule: non-coding RNA, 176 nt
Filed under: uncultured Marvinbryantia sp.
Lineage: Bacteria; Bacillati; Bacillota; Clostridia; Lachnospirales; Lachnospiraceae
Description: 6S / SsrS RNA
Rfam family: 6S / SsrS RNA
About the family: E. coli 6S RNA was the first non coding RNA to be sequenced, but its function was unknown until recently.
Source: RNAcentral